AGUGAACGCUGGCGGUAGGCCUAACACAUGCAAGUCGAACGGCAGCACAGUAAGAGCUUGCUCUUACGGGUGGCGAGUGGCGUACGGGUGAGGAAUACAUCGGAAUCUACUUUUUCGUGGGGGAUAACGUAGGGAAACUUACGCUAAUACCGCAUACGACCUACGGGUGAAAGCAGGGGAUCUUCGGACCUUGCGCGAUUGAAUGAGCCGAUGUCGGAUUAGCUAGUUGGCGGGGUAAAGGCCCACCAAGGCGACGAUCCGUAGCUGGUCUGAGAGGAUGAUCAGCCACACUGGAACUGAGACACGGUCCAGACUCCUACGGGAGGCAGCAGUGGGGAAUAUUGGACAAUGGGCGCAAGCCUGAUCCAGCCAGACCGCGUGGGUGAAGAAGGCCUUCGGGUUGUAAAGCCCUUUUGUUGGGAAAGAAAAGCAGCAGGUUAAUACCCCGCUGUUCUGACGGUACCCAAAGAAUAAGCACAGGCUAACUUCGUG
Molecule: ribosomal RNA, 492 nt
Filed under: uncultured bacterium
Lineage: Bacteria
Description: partial 16S ribosomal RNA
Rfam family: Bacterial small subunit ribosomal RNA
Source: RNAcentral